GAUGAACGCUGACAGAAUGCUUAACACAUGCAAGUCGAUGGGGAAGUGGUGCUUGCACCAUGGCAACCAUGGCGGACGGGUGAGUAACGCGUAAGGGACUUACCUGCAGGACUGGGAUAACAGGGGGAAACUCCUGACAAGACCUGAUAAUGUCAUGGAGCUGCAUGGCUUUAUGAUGAAAGGAGACGCCUGCGGAGAGCCUUGCGUCCUAUUAGCUAGUUGGUGAGGUAAUGGCUCACCAAGGCGAAGAUAGGUAGCCGGCCUGAGAGGGUGGACGGCCACAAGGGGACUGAGAUACGGCCCUUACUCCUACGGGAGGCAGCAGUGGGGAAUAUUGGACAAUGGGGGCAACCCUGAUCCAGCAAUUCUGUGUGCACGAAGAAGGUUUUCGGAUUGUAAAGUGCUUUCAGAAGGGAAGAAGUAAGUGACGGUACCUGCAGAAGAAGCGACGGCUAAAUACGUG
This 463-nucleotide ribosomal RNA is filed under the name uncultured bacterium. RNAcentral's name for it is "partial 16S ribosomal RNA". It matches the Rfam family "Bacterial small subunit ribosomal RNA", at positions 28 to 507 of the family's 1533-position model. The record is from RNAcentral.